RNAcentral lists this ribosomal RNA (425 nucleotides) under uncultured bacterium. RNAcentral's name for it is "bacterial SSU rRNA". It matches the Rfam family "Bacterial small subunit ribosomal RNA", at positions 354 to 796 of the family's 1533-position model. The record is from RNAcentral.
GUGGGGAAUAUUGGACAAUGGGCGCAAGCCUGAUCCAGCAAUGCCGCGUGAGUGAUGAAGGCCUUAGGGUUGUAAAGCUCUUUCGCCCGCGACGAUGAUGACGGUAGCGGGAGAAGAAGCCCCGGCUAACUUCGUGCCAGCAGCCGCGGUAAUACGAAGGGGGCGAGCGUUGUUCGGAUUUACUGGGCGUAAAGGGCGCGUAGGCGGCGGGUCAAGUCGAGUGUGAAAGCCCCGGGCUCAACCUGGGAAUUGCGCUCGAGACUGAUUUGCUGGAGUUCGGGAGAGGAGCGUGGAAUUCCCAGUGUAGAGGUGAAAUUCGUAGAUAUUGGGAAGAACACCGGUGGCGAAGGCGGCGCUCUGGACCGAGACUGACGCUGAGGCGCGAAGGCGUGGGGAGCAAACAGGAUUAGAUACCCGUGUAGUCC